Molecule: ribosomal RNA, 1034 nt
Filed under: Penicillium spinulosum
Lineage: Eukaryota; Fungi; Ascomycota; Eurotiomycetes; Eurotiales; Aspergillaceae
Description: SSU rRNA
Rfam family: Eukaryotic small subunit ribosomal RNA
Source: RNAcentral
AGCACUUGUACUGUGAAACUGCGAAUGGCUCAUUAAAUCAGUUAUCGUUUAUUUGAUAGUACCUUACUACAUGGAUACCUGUGGUAAUUCUAGAGCUAAUACAUGCUAAAAACCCCGACUUCAGGAAGGGGUGUAUUUAUUAGAUAAAAAACCAACGCCCUUCGGGGCUCCUUGGUGAAUCAUAAUAACUUAACGAAUCGCAUGGCCUUGCGCCGGCGAUGGUUCAUUCAAAUUUCUGCCCUAUCAACUUUCGAUGGUAGGAUAGUGGCCUACCAUGGUGGCAACGGGUAACGGGGAAUUAGGGUUCGAUUCCGGAGAGGGAGCCUGAGAAACGGCUACCACAUCCAAGGAAGGCAGCAGGCGCGCAAAUUACCCAAUCCCGAUACGGGGAGGUAGUGACAAUAAAUACUGAUACGGGGCUCUUUUGGGUCUCGUAAUUGGAAUGAGAACAAUUUAAAUCCCUUAACGAGGAACAAUCGGAGGGCAAGUCUGGUGCCAGCAGCCGCGGUAAUUCCAGCUCCAAUAGCGUAUAUUAGAGUUGUUGCAGUUAAAAAGCUCGUAGUUGAACCUUGGGUCUGGCUGGCCGGUCUGCCUCACCGCGAGUACUGGUCCGGCUGGACCUUUCCUUCUGGGGAACGUCAUGGCCUUCACUGGCUGUGGGGGGAACCAGGACUUUUACUGUGAAAAAAUUAGAGUGUUCAAAGCAGGCCUUUGCUCGAAUACAUUAGCAUGGAAUAAUAGAAUAGGACGUGUGGUUCUAUUUUGUUGGUUUCUAGGACCGCCGUAAUGAUUAAUAGGGAUAGUCGGGGGCGUCAGUAUUCAGCUGUCAGAGGUGAGAUUCUUGGAUUUGCUGAAGACUAACUACUGCGAAAGCAUUCGCCAAGGAUGUUUUCAUUAAUCAGGGAACGAAAGUUAGGGGAUCGAAGACGAUCAGAUACCGUCGUAGUCUUAACCAUAAACUAUGCCGACUAGGGAUCGGACGGGAUUCUAUGAUGACCCGUUCGGCACCUUACGAGAAAUCAAAGUUUUGGGUU